This 253-nucleotide ribosomal RNA is filed under the name uncultured prokaryote. RNAcentral's name for it is "partial 16S ribosomal RNA". It matches the Rfam family "Bacterial small subunit ribosomal RNA", at positions 524 to 776 of the family's 1533-position model. The record is from RNAcentral.
UACGGAGGGUGCAAGCGUUAUCCGGAUUCACUGGGUUUAAAGGGUGCGUAGGCGGGUUGGUAAGUCAGUGGUGAAAGCCCCAAGCUCAACUUGGGAACUGCCAUUGAUACUGCCAGUCUUGAGUGUGGUUGAAGUGGGCGGAAUAUGACAUGUAGCGGUGAAAUGCUUAGAUAUGUCAUAGAACACCGAUUGCGAAGGCAGCUCACUAAGCCAUUACUGACGCUGAGGCACGAAAGCGUGGGGAGCGAACAGG